UCAAAUAUCUCUAGCAAGCUAAUUAAGAUGAAAUUCAGAAAAUAAAGAAGAGAAGAUACCAAAAUCUAUCCAUUUUUGCUAAGAAAUGCAAAAUCCUCUUCCUCCAAGCCAAACUCAUGAUUUUCUCAUCCAAAUUCAAUAAACUUGGAGGCAAAAUGAUCACAAGAUCAUAAGGAAGCAAGGAUUUGAAGCUUGGAUCUUGGAGAAUUUAUGGAGGAUAUGAUUCGGUUAUCUAGUCAACAUAUCAAGCUUGAGGGAUAGUAUGAUAUGAUUUGAAGAGUCAAGCUUCCGAAGUUUUAAUUCUCGGAAGUCAUUUGCACAAGAAGUGAAAGAAGGUUUUCAUUCUAGCGGUCCGCAGUAGUCUAGAUGUUUUUUUUCUAUGUAUUUGUCUAGCGCAUUUUAACUCUGAUAUUUUUGUAAAAUGGGGUCACAUGUAUUUUGAUAUAUGAAAAAUGAUUUGAUUUGCGAAAAAUUUACACA
Mercurialis annua (annual mercury) is the source of this 480-nucleotide long non-coding RNA. RefSeq lists it as uncharacterized. The record is from RefSeq and is a predicted model, not a curated record. The transcript has 3 exons. Lineage: Eukaryota; Viridiplantae; Streptophyta; Magnoliopsida; Malpighiales; Euphorbiaceae.